AUUGAACGCUGGCGGCAUGCUUUACACAUGCAAGUCGGGCGAGUGGCGAACGGGUGAGUAACGCAUCGGAACGUACCGAGUAAUGGGGGAUAACUGUCAGAAAGGACAGCUAAUAACGCAUAUUAUUCGAGCGGCAGAUGUCUGAUUAGCUGGUUGGCGGGGUAAAGGCCCACCAAGGCGACGAUCAGUAGCGGGUCUGAGAGGAUGAUCCGCCACACUGUGACUGAGACACGGCCCAGACUCCUACGGGAGGCAGCAGUGGGGAAUUUUGGACAAUGGGCGCAAGCCUGAUGCAGCCAUGCCGCGUGUAUGAAGAAGGCCUUCGGGUUGUAAAGUACUUUCAGUCGGGAGGCGUUACCGACAGAAGAAGCACCGGCUAACUCCGUGCCAGCAGCCGCGGUAAUUC
RNAcentral lists this ribosomal RNA (406 nucleotides) under uncultured bacterium. RNAcentral describes it as "partial 16S ribosomal RNA". It matches the Rfam family "Bacterial small subunit ribosomal RNA", at positions 30 to 526 of the family's 1533-position model. The record is from RNAcentral.